CGACUAUAGACAGACAGGGAGACCACCUCACACAACAUGCAGGAAACUCAGGAACAAGACGGCGAUGUGAAGUGUGAAGAGGCUCAGUGAUCCGGCAUUACAGGCACAUCGCAUCACAAGAAAUGUUGUGGAAAGAAGGAUUGGCCAGUGGAAGCUCAGGUUCCACGUUCUACACUCGGAAAUUCGGUACUCCCCUGGGAGAGUGUGCCGUAUCAUAAUGGCUUGUGCAAUACUGCAUAAUAUUUGCAAGAGGCACAACAUCCCACCCCCACCAGAGGAUGACAACGAUGGAGAAGCUGGAGAUGCCAGCCCCCCCCCGAGCAACAUCAAUUUAUGUGAUGGGGCAGCCUUCAGACAACACUUUGACACACUGCACUUUGGUGCUUGCAGCUCGCUUGGGAGCGGGUCCUCAUCCACCACUGGGCAUACCUGACUUGAGGUACAUGGGGGGACAACCAAAGCAGCGGAGGCAUAUGGAGAGCUCAUGUUUAGGCUGGCCGGGUCAAGCGACUCACCUGCAUCUUCAUUGUAACUGAAAAAUAAAAUGUCUGAAAUGUUGAAUAUUGUUGUCAUGGUUUUGAGUUA
Micropterus dolomieu (smallmouth bass) is the source of this 585-nucleotide long non-coding RNA. RefSeq lists it as uncharacterized. The transcript is spliced from 4 exons. The record is from RefSeq and is a predicted model, not a curated record. NCBI's taxonomy places the organism in Eukaryota, Metazoa, Chordata, Actinopteri, Centrarchiformes, Centrarchidae.